Non-coding RNA from Podarcis lilfordi (Lilford's wall lizard), 75 nucleotides. NCBI's taxonomy places the organism in Eukaryota, Metazoa, Chordata, Lepidosauria, Squamata, Lacertidae. The record is from the annotation of a GenBank genome assembly.
GCCAGGGAUAGCUCAGUUUGGUAGAGAAUGAGGGUCUUAAUCUCAGGGUUGUAGCUUCGAGCCCCACAUUGGGCA